This 494-nucleotide ribosomal RNA is filed under the name uncultured bacterium. RNAcentral's name for it is "partial 16S ribosomal RNA". It matches the Rfam family "Bacterial small subunit ribosomal RNA", at positions 28 to 507 of the family's 1533-position model. The record is from RNAcentral.
GACGAACGCUGGCGGCGUGCUUAACACAUGCAAGUCGAACGGUGAAGCGCCUUCCUUUUUGGUGGGUGUGGAUGAGUGGCGAACGGGUGAGUAACACGUGAGUAACCUGCCCCCUUCUUCUGGAUAACCGCAUGAAAGUGUGGCUAAUACGGGAUAUUCUGGGUCUGUCGCAUGAUGGGUCUGGGAAAGAUAUUGUUUCGGUGGGGGAUGGGCUCGCGGCCUAUCAGCUUGUUGGUGGGGUGAUGGCCUACCAAGGCGGUGACGGGUAGCCGGCCUGAGAGGGUGGACGGUCACACUGGGACUGAGACACGGCCCAGACUCCUACGGGAGGCAGCAGGGGGGAAUAUGGCACAAUGGGCGCAAGCCUGAUGCAGCGACGCCGCGUGAGGGAUGGAGGCCUGCGGGUUGUGAACCUCUUUCGCCAGUGAAGCAGGCCUGCCUCGUUUGUGGGUGGGUUGACGGUAGCUGGAUAAGAAGCGCCGGCUAACUACGUG